CCUGGCGGCACUAGCGCGGUGGUCCCACCUGACCCCAUGCCGAACUCAGAAGUGAAACGCCGUAGCGCCGAUGGUAGUGUGGGGG
RNAcentral lists this ribosomal RNA (85 nucleotides) under Klebsiella pneumoniae. Lineage: Bacteria; Pseudomonadati; Pseudomonadota; Gammaproteobacteria; Enterobacterales; Enterobacteriaceae. The record is from RNAcentral.